This 253-nucleotide ribosomal RNA is filed under the name uncultured bacterium. RNAcentral's name for it is "partial 16S ribosomal RNA". It matches the Rfam family "Bacterial small subunit ribosomal RNA", at positions 524 to 776 of the family's 1533-position model. The record is from RNAcentral.
UACGUAGGGGGCAAGCGUUAUCCGGAUUUACUGGGUGUAAAGGGAGCGUAGACGGUAUGGUAAGUCAGAUGUGAAAGGCAGGGGCUCAACCCUUGAACUGCAUUUGAAACUAUCAGACUAGAGUGUCGGAGAGGUAAGUGGAAUUCCUAGUGUAGCGGUGAAAUGCGUAGAUAUUAGGAGGAACACCAGUGGCGAAGGCGGCUUACUGGACGAUAACUGACGUUGAGGCUCGAAAGCGUGGGGAGCAAACAGG